Molecule: long non-coding RNA, 1460 nt
Organism: Patella vulgata (common limpet)
Lineage: Eukaryota; Metazoa; Mollusca; Gastropoda; Patellidae
Exons: 3
Source: RefSeq, a predicted model, not a curated record
CAACUGUUGUCGCCAUCUUUACAAAGAAACUUGAAGGUGUAGGCGCCAACUUGAAGAAAGAAGGUUUUAUUCUAACAAAUAUAUUAAAGGUCGAUUUAUAGGUUUUAUUGUUGCACAUAAAAAAGACCCAAGAUUGUCAGUGGUUUCUUGAUUAAAUGGAAUUUCAUUGAAAAUUACUUUAAAGAUGCAAUGAAAAGGCACCAAUUGGAAUUCUUAUGAUUUGACAGAUACACUUUACUUGCACUUCUAAAUGUAACAACAACAAAUCAAUACUAUGAAACAGUGUCCACUUAAGAUCGACCAAAGCCUUCACAGUAAUGCUUCAACAAGACCAACACAUUGUCUGCUGCCAGCUUCCCGGAGUGUGUGCCAUACAGUCUUCAGUAUAAUGUUCAAGCUCCUACAGCAUGCGUCUCCAUGGACUUCUUGAACUAAAACAACAUGGCACUGCUUGAAUGGCCAGCUCUUUCUCAUUAACUCUCACUAUAGCGACUUUGUGGGACAAUAUAGGACAGGUCCUUAACUGCAAACGAGAGUGGAGAAGGAACCUAGUCAGCCAUUCAGAGGCUUCUCCAUGCUGUGAUGUUGUCUGUUGUGUGUGGCUGCUGGAGGUGGACAUAUACUUCACUGACUUGGCUUUUACUGCUAUGUUCUACUUAUCAACAAUAUUUUAUGGCCUCUGUGUGAUGUUGUUCAUCUUCUUGUGUACCUUCAGUGACAUCCAGUGCAUUUUCGGUAUAGAUCUCAGAAUCCUAUUAUAAAUGAAUGGAUGUAAACAACCAUUGCUUUAUGGAAAAAAAAAACCAUCCUGUAAGACAAAAAAAAAUCUACUUGCAGUUCCAAAGAUUACCUUGAAUAAUGCAAUUAAGAAUAUUUAAUAUCUUUUUUUAUUGUUUUAGAUGUGUAGAAAGUUCAAUUUCUAGUAACAGCAUGUAUAUAUUAUGGUAACCUUAAAGGUGCAUUAUGUAAGAAUUAGAUAAAGACCUGGUCAUUCAUGCUAAAAUAGUUCAAAAAUAGACAAUUUCAAAUUAAUAUACAUAUUUCGUUCAAAUUAAUCAUUUCUGAGUGAAUUUAUCAGACUUUGAAGUGUUCACCAUUAUCAAGUAGCAUUAUUAUCAUGAUAAUAAACAAAGUUUCAAUUAUCUAUUUUUAAAUUAAAUGAUUAUGGUGAUCAUGUUUCAGUCCAAUGGAUGGUCAAAAGAGUUGAUCAUGGGUUUUUCAUAUGUACACAGAUACCUCAUUAUUAAAAUAUAUCAAAUUUGAGCCCAAUAGAAGACCUGCAAUCGGCAGAUUUAGCUCUUACAUAAUGCAUCUGAAAUAUAAACCCUAAUGAAAAGAAAGCUUAAACCAAUGUAUAAAUGUGUAUAUUUUUGGUAGGGAUAUUUUUAAAUUAAAUUAUACUGAAAUGUUCAUGUUAUUGGAUUGUAUUAUUUUAUGAUUAAACAUGCUAUUGGUGUAAA